RNA transcript from Nycticebus coucang (slow loris), 724 nucleotides. It is a transcript of the gene named mitochondrial assembly of ribosomal large subunit protein 1-like, with no coding region annotated. The transcript has a single exon. Lineage: Eukaryota; Metazoa; Chordata; Mammalia; Primates; Lorisidae. The record is from RefSeq and is a predicted model, not a curated record.
AUGGGGACAGACAGCUAUGUAUCUGGGUGGCUCUGGCCACUUUUGUGGCAUGCAGUCCUGUCCCAAGUAGCAGCUGGAACUGGGCCCUGGUUUCGGCUGCUGGGGGUGGAACUGCUUUCUGCAGGACCAGCCUUCAGCUGGGCCUGCCUCAUCCCCAACCCCAUGCAUGGCCUGCACAGCAAGCUCCAGCUGGAGGAGCAGGUAGAGGGGAUACCCAUCAAAGGACACCCAGACUCUAGCACAGCAGAUCAUAUUGGUCCCAAGUUUGACAUCAAUAUGAUGGUUUAACUACCAAGGCAAGAAAAUGCAAGAGAUAUUUGUGUAAUCAAGGUUCCUCCAGAAAUGAAAUACACAGAUUACUAUGUAUUUAGUAGUGGAACUUCUACCCAACACUUGCAUGCCAUGGCAUAUACAUUGUGAAAAUGUACAAAUACCUGAAAAGUAAGGGCCUUAAAUUAAGAUCGAAGGGAAGGACACUGAUGACUGGAUAUAGUGUGGGUUUUGGCAGCAUGAUGCUUCAUUUGAUGCUUCUAGAAACCAGAGAAAUCUGUGAAUUAGAGAAAUUAUGGACUCUCCAUUCUUACGAUGACCAGUUGGCUCAAAUAGCACCUGAGACAUUACCUAAAGACUUCAUUCUUGGAAGAGAAGAUGACACUUCAUCUCUGACUCCAGUGGAGUUCAAAUGUGAAUAAAGUUGUAUGAACUGCUUUAGUCAUUUCAAAAA